CAGUCGAACGAAGCACUUGAGAAUGAUUCUUCGGAAGAUUUCUCUUGUGACUUAGUGGCGGACGGGUGAGUAACGCGUGGGUAACCUGCCUCACACAGGGGGAUAACAGUUGGAAACGACCGCUAAUACCGCAUAACCCGCUAGGGCCGCAUGGCCCGGACGGAAAAGAUUUAUCGGUGUGAGAUGGACCCGCGUUGGAUUAGCUAGUUGGCAGGGUAACGGCCUACCAAGGCGACGAUCCAUAGCCGGCCUGAGAGGGUGAACGGCCACAUUGGGACUGAGACACGGCCCAAACUCCUACGGGAGGCAGCAGUGGGGAAUAUUGCACAAUGGGGGAAACCCUGAUGCAGCGACGCCGCGUGAGUGAAGAAGUAUUUCGGUAUGUAAAGCUCUAUCAGCAGGGAAGAAAAUGACGGUACCUGACUAAGAAGCCCCGGCUAACUACGUGCCAGCAGCCGCGGUAAUACGUAGGGGGCAAGCGUUAUCCGGAUUUACUGGGUGUAAAGGGAGCGUAGACGGCUAAGCAAGUCAGAAGUGAAAGGCUGGGGCUCAACCCCGGGACUGCUUUUGAAACUGUUUGGCUAGAGUGCUGGAGAGGUAAGCGGAAUUCCUAGUGUAGCGGUGAAAUGCGUAGAUAUUAGGAGGAACACCAGUGGCGAAGGCGGCUUACUGGACAGUAACUGACGUUGAGGCUCGAAAGCGUGG
This 705-nucleotide ribosomal RNA is filed under the name uncultured bacterium. RNAcentral describes it as "bacterial SSU rRNA". It matches the Rfam family "Bacterial small subunit ribosomal RNA", at positions 59 to 764 of the family's 1533-position model. The record is from RNAcentral.